ACCGGGAGCCCGACGUGGGAUUCGAUCCCGGGUCUCCAGGAUCGCGCCCUGGGCCAAAGGCAGGCGCCAAACCGCUGCGCCACCCAGGGAUCCCUACUUUAGCAGUUUCAAGAUGAAAGCGAUUUAGUUGGGUACCUGAGGAUUUGAUAGAAAAAUAAAGCAAGGCCGCUUUUCUCUCACCUGUGUGUAUUUUUCUCUCUUCCAUAAUCUUUUAGUAAGAAAAUUACAGCCUUUCCGUUGAUAGUGUCAUAGCGUUUGCAUAUCUUGAGUUCCUUUUUCACUCAGAUGAUGAAGGAAAUAGGGACGCCUCGGUGGCUCAGCAGUUGAGCAUCUGCCUUUGGCCCAGGGCGCGAUCCUGGAGACCCGGGAUCAAGUCCCACAUCGGGCUCCCUGCAUGGAGCCUGCUUCUCCCUCUGCCUGUGUCUCUGCCUCUCUCUCUCUUUCUCUGUGUGUCUCAUGAAUAAAUAAAAUCUUUAAAAAUAUAUUUAAAAAAGAAGAUGAAGGAAAUUAUAUGUAAUAUUGGUGUCUCUUACCAAUGCGUAACGUGUGCUGACAGCAGUCAUUGGAAUUCCCAUGGGACAGCUGAGUCAGGGCUGGGAAUAUCCCAGAGUCAGCACGGCUCUCUGGAGCCAGUCGCACUGUUGACGGGACCGGCUGGUUUCCGUUAACAAGCAGGAAAAGGAGCUGGGGGCAGGAGGGGGCGCGGUGUGAGAGGCCCCACAUUCUCUGCCUCUGAGGGGCAGAAAGUUUGGCUCCCCAAGGCAUCUUUCUUUGAAUACAGAAGCAUUUUAAUCAGAACUCUAGUAACAUCAGUGAAUUUUUGCUGUAGACUUUUCCAGAACAAACCUGAAUUGCCCACUCGCUUCUUACGUGUUUCCUGUACAGCCCGGUUAAACCAUUUCUAGUUGCUUUUUUAUUCCUUUUGUCAAAUUAUUUUCAUAACGAUCAGUACCUGUUUUAUUUGGCUAAAAUUUCUCUGUCACAGUGAGUUUUCUCCUUUCACAAAACUAAACAGUCUUUUUAGCUGAAUGUCACUAAUCACAGAUUCAGUCAUGAGGUGUUUUUAUAGGUUAACGGCCAUUAUUUUGCCAACUUUGAUUUCCCUAAUUUUAGCUUUAAUUUUAUUGAGGUGGAUAUUUCGACUGUCCCCAGUUUUUCCCAGUGACCCGGUCACAGUGUCCCCAGCAUCAGAACCUGGGCAGCUCAGGCCGCCCACUUCCCUCCAGGUCACCUCCAAGCUCUGCAUGGCGCUCCCUCCCCUCCCUCCAUGCCUGCAGCCCCCCCAGCGCCCCAGCCUCUCCCCACCUGCGGCCCCCCAGGAGAGCUUGCUCUGGAGAGGCCUUUCAGCCUUCAGUGCCUAGCGAGGCGUCGAGCCCUCGGAGGCCCGAGGAGCCAGUGGCACUCAUCCGGCGCCCCCCCACCCCAGGCCUGGCAGGAUGGCUGGUACACAGGGGAGGGAGAGCAAGGCGGCAGGGGCUCGGAGCUGCCCUGUUUUGAGCGCUCACCUGAAGAGUUAAGCACUCGAUGGCCUUCGUCUCUUGGGACUCACUGAUGCACAGAGAGCGGCCGGUGACCAUCGUCCCUCCUUGAAGCAUCGCAGCCCCAGCAGCCUCCCCACAGUGAACUGAGAAGAUUGCCACUCGACACCAUGAACCUUCCUGCUUUUUGACCCAGAGAGCCUUGGGCUCAAAGAUCUUUCUGCUUCUUACCUGCCUUUCCCCUGUCCUCCUCCUAUUGAAAAGCUGCUUUAGGCUUUUGAGCACCGAAUAAACCACGACGGCAUUUGCUAUCGUUAAAUAUACAUAAACAUUUCCAAACGACAAAAAUCACACGGAGGGAAAUUUCCUGAGCAUUCCUGUUGUGUGUGGUCAUCUACGUGAAUAAAGCCUGUCUGCCCCUCACUGCAUCACACCAAAACCGCCACAUAUUAGAGCCCUGUUUGGUGGGGGGGGAGUGACUUAAAAUACGGGGUGCAUGUAGACACAGGGCCACCCCAAGAUGCUCUGCAGCCGUGGCUCAGCAACAGGGCGACCCUCCCACCAGAGCCGGGUGAGGCUGCUCGGGAGGGCCAGGGCAGAGUCUGGGUUCCAAGGAUGAGCCCCCGAGGGGCACCGGGCACCCCCUCUAGCACUUGGCCAGAGGUACCUGCCAGCUGCUUCCCCAAGGAGCAACUUCAAAGUAGGCCCUCACGAGGAAUGGGUUCUCUUACCGGCCUACCUUCUAAUCAGCCCUUUGGCUUUGCCUCUCUGCAGGCCCCGAGCAGACCACCUCCUACAGGAAGGCCCCCGCCUCUCCAUGAGCUGUGCACGUGUAGGAGCCGGCUUCUCCUGUGCCUUCAGAUAGUCUGAAAACUUCUUGGUCACUGCCCAGAGCUCAGCAUGGUUCGAGGCACGGGGAGGGUCCCCCGUGGAUCCUUGAUGACAGCUGAACAUUUCAUUCCUAGGGACCGAGUGUGAACCAGACGACACGGGGGAACAGUUCUGUUCUCCUAAAGUGCUCGCUGCUUAUCACAAUUUGAAUGAAGUGAUUUAUCCUCUUCCCCACGCACCGCACAGCCAGGGACGAUCGGGACACUUGCUCCGUCUGCCCCGCUCACCUCAACGUCUGGACUGGACACGUAGAGAAAGGGCGGAGCCGGGGGGGCUGCCUGUGUCCCCGCCCUCGCUGCACCCGCCUUGGAGGCUGCUCCAGGGCGACCC
Canis lupus familiaris (dog) is the source of this 2699-nucleotide long non-coding RNA. RefSeq lists it as uncharacterized. NCBI's taxonomy places the organism in Eukaryota, Metazoa, Chordata, Mammalia, Carnivora, Canidae. The record is from RefSeq and is a predicted model, not a curated record. The transcript has 4 exons.